Coffea eugenioides is the source of this 2271-nucleotide RNA transcript. RefSeq lists it as uncharacterized. The record is from RefSeq and is a predicted model, not a curated record. The transcript is spliced from 6 exons. Lineage: Eukaryota; Viridiplantae; Streptophyta; Magnoliopsida; Gentianales; Rubiaceae.
CCCCUCUCCUUUUUCCCUUUGAUAAUUAUUCUCUUAAAUAAUAUUCCCUAUCUUUAGAACAGCUUAUAUGGAUUUGAGUUGCAAAUUCCCUUUUCAAUCAUCAUCUUCAUCUUCAUCCUGGGCUGUAAUCGUCUACUCACCGUGGCUGAAAUACCGGAUUUUUCCACCGCCGUCCGAUCAUUUGACUCCUCGGAUACCGGAUUUUCGACGUAUUACUGAAAUACCUUAGUAGUAAUUGCGUUUUAAUUUCGCCAAGCCAAGCCAAGCAUAUUUAACAGGACCUCUGAACACAAAGAUGUCACAGAGGAGAGGUAAAACGUCUAGUUGGACUGUAUUUGACCUGACUACUUCUGCAAGUGUACAACCUCUGGACACAAAAAUGUCGCGGAGGAGAGGUAAAACGUCUGGUUGUACUGCAUUUGACCUUGAACAUCGUCGUAAGCAGCGUCUUGAACCUGAAGCAAGGGAUGAAUUUUUUCCGGCAAUAUCAAGCUCAAUGGAGCAAAGUCAGAAAGCCUUGACAAACAUAGCAAAUAUAACUGCAUCGGAGAAGCAUUUUGCGUCUCUACUACAGGAUGCUGUCAAAUUUCAGAUCAAGCCGAAACGCGGCGAUAUGCAUGAAAAGAAAUUGCAGGGUGGUUGCUCUAGUGGUGUCAAAGAUGCUUUGAAGGCAAAUGGAAUGCUUAAGGAGCUCCAUCCUUGGGCAGACCAAUGCCUGAUUGAGGAUGUUUUGGCUGGUGUAGACUAUGAUGUUGAUAAGGCCUCAUCCUUAUUGAAAAUGAUGGUUUCCUCUGAGCAAAAAUACAAUAAUAUUAAAAUUACUGGGACUGAUGAAUUAAAGUUCAAUCGUAAGAAGUCUCUUGUGAAUGAAAAUAAGUCAUUAGCUGAAAAGGACACAGAUCUUUCUCAAGUGAUGCGUCUUCUUGAGGGUCUUGUGCUUAGCAAUAAUGGAGAUUUGACAGAUGAACGUGCUUCUUCGAGGAGAAUGCUUCUGCAUGAUGUCUUUGCUACAAAAAUGAUUCUGAAUUCUAUCAAAUCUUUACCCAUUGAGCGGGAAGAAGAUGAUGUUUACUUGGCUCAAAGAAAAGAGGCACAAAAGAUGACGAGUUCAGCAUCUCGGAACUCUAAGGCUUCCGUGGAUGCCUAUCUGAGAGGGGAUCACUUAUCUGCCCAACUCUAUUCGCGGAAAGCUCGUGAAGAAUGGCUGACUGCUAAACAACUAAAUGCCAAGGCAGCAAAAGAAAUUCUGAGAAUCAAGAAUUUGAAGAAUGAUGAGUGGACAUUAGAUUUGCAUGGUCUUCAUGCUGCAGAAGCAGUCCAAGCCUUGCAAGAACAUUUGCAGAGGAUUGAAUCUCAGAUGCCUACAAAACAGCUUGCUUGUGCUAGAAGAUUCAAUGCAAUUCAAUCUCAGAUGCCUUGUGCUAGAAUAGUCCAUUUAUCUCAGAUGCCUAUUGCUUGUGCUAGAAUAGUCCAUUUAUCUCAGAUGCCUGCUAGAAGAUUCAAUGUAAUGGCAGGAAUUGUAUCUUCCACAGCUCCUAAUGUUGCAAUUUUUAGGGAUUUGGAAGAGUGUGAUAGCCAGAUUCCAUUGUUUAGGCCAAGACCAGCAUCUGUAGAAGUAAUAACAGGAAAAGGCAAGCAUAGUCGGGGUGAAGCCACACUUCCUCCAGCCAUUAGGAGCUUUCUCAAUGAAAAUAGAUAUCACUAUAGUGAAACACGACCUGGGGUGAUUGAAGUACAAGUCAAAUUCCGGUGAUGAUGAGCUCUGUGCAUUACACUAUCUUGCAAUGAGGGAGUUCUCCUUAUUUGAUAUGUAUCAUAGAUUGGUCUUUGGUAUUUUGCGAAAUGAGGAUGGUGGUUGCAUGAAGAUUUUUCUGGAUCUUUCUUUGGUUUGUGGAUCUCUUUUGAUAAAGUUUGUUUUGGCUCUUGCUAACUAUGGACACCUAUAUAGUGGACGAAUGGAAUCUCUUGCCUCCUUCAAUGCACGCUUUUGGCUAAGCAACUGUAUCAGAAUUGGCUGCCGUUGCAUAAUGACACUUUACCUUGGCAAUUUGAAGCAAACUAGUAUAAUCUUGGCAGAGUAUCCUGAAUUAAAGGGUUAGACAUUAAUUUUCUUGUUCUCGUGGAAUCAUUAAAUAAAAAUUGUCUUGGCAGAAAGUACCCUAUGUGAGAGGCUUAACAAAAAUGUCUUGGCUGAAGUACUCCAAAUGAGAGGAUUCAAUGCUACUUUUCUUCACAGAUGGGACUCUGUUUGAAUUAGUUGUUUUUCAGGUU